Molecule: transfer RNA, 83 nt
Filed under: Oryctolagus cuniculus (rabbit)
Lineage: Eukaryota; Metazoa; Chordata; Mammalia; Lagomorpha; Leporidae
Rfam family: tRNA
About the family: Transfer RNA (tRNA) molecules are approximately 80 nucleotides in length. Their secondary structure includes four short double-helical elements and three loops (D, anti-codon, and T loops). Further hydrogen bonds mediate the characteristic L-shaped molecular structure. tRNAs have two regions of fundamental functional importance: the anti-codon, which is responsible for specific mRNA codon recognition, and the 3' end, to which the tRNAs corresponding amino acid is attached (by aminoacyl-tRNA synthetases). tRNAs cope with the degeneracy of the genetic code in two manners: having more than one tRNA (with a specific anti-codon) for a particular amino acid; and 'wobble' base-pairing, i.e. permitting non-standard base-pairing at the 3rd anti-codon position.
Source: Rfam by way of RNAcentral
GGCACUGUGGCUCAGUUUGUUAAAGUCCUGGCCUGCAGUGCCAGCAUCCUAUAUGGGCACUGGUUCAAGUCCUGGCUGUUCCA